This 214-nucleotide unclassified non-coding RNA is filed under the name Hevea brasiliensis (rubber tree). The record is from RNAcentral. Lineage: Eukaryota; Viridiplantae; Streptophyta; Magnoliopsida; Malpighiales; Euphorbiaceae.
AUCAUAUUGGUCUGAUCCAUGAGUCACUGAAGCAUCCUAUAAUUUCGGGAAGAUAAUGGGUUCAGACCUAUUUCAAGUUGACAGUUGUUGGAGUUCGAUUGGACUGUAUCUCAUAGAAAGUCAAAUUCUACUUAAUCUUUUGGAACAAUUCUAAUGGAUUCUUGCAAAAAGAUAUGGGAAACUAUAAAAUAACCAGAGACCCGGCUCCUCAGAG